GAUGAAGAACGUAGCGAAAUGCGAUAAGUAAUGUGAAUUGCAGAAUUCAGUGAAUCAUCGAAUCUUUGAACGCACAUUGCGCCCGCCAGUAUUCUGGCGGGCAUGCCUGUUCGAGCGUCAUUACAACCCUCAGGCCCCCGGGCCUGGCGUUGGGGAUCGGCGGAAGCCCCCUGCGGGCACAACGCCGUCCCCCAAAUACAGUGGCGGUCCCGCCGCAGCUUCCAUUGCGUAGUAGCUAACACCUCGCAACUGGAGAGCGGCGCGGCCACGGCGUAAAACACCCAACUUCUGAAUGUUGACCUCGAAUCAGGUAGGAAUACCCGCUGAACUUAAGCAUAUCAAUAAGCGGAGGA
RNAcentral lists this unclassified non-coding RNA (353 nucleotides) under soil metagenome. RNAcentral describes it as "partial contains 5.8S ribosomal RNA, internal transcribed spacer 2, and large subunit ribosomal RNA". The stretch from base 1 to 120 matches the Rfam family "5.8S ribosomal RNA", at positions 35 to 154 of the family's 154-position model. The record is from RNAcentral.